UUUUAAUUUUUACGAGAACCACUUCCAUUCUUUCAAAAAACCGUAACAAUGAAUCUUCUUCCUUUUUCACACUCAACAAUUAAAUAUUGUUUUUAACUGUUAAGUUCUCACCUUUUUGCAAUUAUUCUUCAAACAACACCCAUUAAUUUUCACCUAGAAAUUCUGUUGAAAAUGUUAAGCAAGAGAACUUAAGAAGUAAACAAUGGGUAAGUUCUCCCACCGAGUUGCUCUCAAGUUCUUGACUUGCCUAAACAGGACAAACAAAUAUGGAAAUGAGCAUACAAGUUGCUGCUCCUAUUAUAAUUGUUGAAGGUCUAUGAUGUGCAAGUUAUGAUGUUUUAAGACAUGACACUGACAAAUGAAAAAAAUAUACGUGCGAGACAUGGAUGUUUACUAAAUUUGUUGCAUGAAAUCAACCUUCAUUUAGCAAAUGCAAAUCAAAUUAUGACAACUCCAUUCAAAUGGGUUUUAGAUAUGCCAAAAAAUUUACAAAUUUCUGGUGCUCUAUUGUCGGAGUUGGCUAGUAGGUGGGAUGGACGUAGUGGGGUAUUUAGGAUUAGAGGUGGGAUAGUUAAUUUUACUCCAAGUGACAUAUGUUUGGCUAUAGGACUACCAAUAGUAGGCGAGCCUUUGAAAGAAUAUUAAAAUGAGGAAUUUGAUACGUUGUUGUUGUUUAUAGAAGAAAAAAAAGUAACUUGUGAUAUGAUUGGUGUGUUGCUUCACAUGUAUCGUCAGAAUAUAGUCAAUUUUUGUAGACUUUAUAUACUCUCUGCCUUUGGCGAGUUCUAUUUUCCUUAAUCAGAAAAUCGAGUAAAUACUCGUUAUAUUAAAAUACUUGAUGAUCUAGAGUCUCUGCAUAACUACAAUUGGAGUGUAGUGGUGUAUAAUGUUUUAGUUGAAAGUUUAAGUAGGAUUGAAAUUGUGUUGAAAGAGGGGAAGGUAGAUUCGCAAACACACAUAACAGGUUGUGCAACUGUCCUACAGAUUUGGGCGUUCAACCACUUGUCCUUCUGUUCCCAAGUUUAGAUUCCCGAGAUUUUUGAAUUGGCCAAUCUUAUAGUGUGAGAAGAAUACAAUAUUAAAAGCAUUUCAAAAUAACAUGGUGAAGUGAGAGUUAGUACCCCUGUUGAGAAUGUUGGGGAUUAAGUCGCAUGUGAGCCUAAUGUGAACAGUUCAGCAAAAGCAACGUCAAACAUAAUUACGAGAAUGAAAGAUAAGCCAAGGAAACAAGUUAAAAGUGUAGUCAAUCAAAGUCCAUUUGUGAAUCCGGAUGAAAAGAAGAAGAGGAAAAAAUAAGUGUGUUAUGGGCAUAUUUUGAGUUUGUGGGAGGUUCUCUAUGGCGAUGUAGUUGGUGGAAUUUGAACUACACUUUUUGCCUGUAUUUUUCGUUUUUUUUUUAUUUUUAUGAACAAAUAUGAAUGAACUUUUUUUUCUUUUAUGAACAAAUAUGUAUGAUAUUUUAAGUUUCUCUAUUUCUGUUUUUAUGAACUUUCUGUUCAAAUCCAUUAAUCAAGUUGUGCAAGGAAUUAACCA
Cicer arietinum (chickpea) is the source of this 1533-nucleotide non-coding RNA. The record is from RefSeq and is a predicted model, not a curated record. Lineage: Eukaryota; Viridiplantae; Streptophyta; Magnoliopsida; Fabales; Fabaceae.